CCGGCGCACGGGUGAGUAACACGUAUGGAACCUGCCCUAUGCACGGGGGAUAAGCGGAAGUAAAUUCCGUCUAAUACCGCAUAACACCUUUAGGAGACAUCUUCUUGGGGGUCAAAGGAGGCGACUCCGGCAUAGGAUGGCCAUGCGUCGCAUUAGCUAGUCGGCGGGGUAACGGCCCACCGAGGCGACGAUGCGUAGGGGUUCUGAGAGGAAGGUACCCCCACACUGGUACUGAGACACGGACCAGACUCCUACGGGAGGCAGCAG
RNAcentral lists this ribosomal RNA (267 nucleotides) under uncultured bacterium. RNAcentral's name for it is "partial 16S ribosomal RNA". It matches the Rfam family "Bacterial small subunit ribosomal RNA", at positions 95 to 354 of the family's 1533-position model. The record is from RNAcentral.